This 267-nucleotide transfer-messenger RNA is filed under the name Bartonella sp. RNAcentral describes it as "partial ssrA". It matches the Rfam family "Alphaproteobacteria transfer-messenger RNA", at positions 64 to 328 of the family's 355-position model. From Rfam's summary of the family: Bacterial tmRNA, also known as 10Sa RNA or SsrA, is named for its dual tRNA and mRNA-like properties. Its role is to liberate the mRNA from a stalled ribosome. Lineage: Bacteria; Pseudomonadati; Pseudomonadota; Alphaproteobacteria; Hyphomicrobiales; Bartonellaceae. The record is from RNAcentral.
AAUGGACAAUGAAAUAAACCCAUUGGACCCGGGGGCGGUACCCGGCGCCUCCACCAAAAUAUAAUGAAUAAGAAUUAUAUUUUGGUGGGGGCGAAAUAGGAUCGACAAGGGCGUAAAGAUUGCUCUUUUACUCGGCAUUGUACCACCGUUAUCGGGCUAAAUGAGUAGUUGCAAAUGACAACUAUGCGGAAGCUCGUCUCGCCGCUUAAAGUGGUGCGAAAGCUUCAAAUUAACUCUUAAACCGUCGCAGGUUUAAGCGGGGUUCGG